UACGAAGGGUGCUAGCGUUGUUCGGAAUCACUGGGCGUAAAGCGCACGUAGGCGGAUGUGUCAGUCAGGGGUGAAAUCCCGGAGCUCAACUUCGGAACUGCCUUUGAUACAGCACGUCUUGAGUCCGAUAGAGGUGGGUGGAAUUCCUAGUGUAGAGGUGAAAUUCGUAGAUAUUAGGAAGAACACCGGUGGCGAAGGCAGCCCACUGGAUCGGUACUGACGCUGAGGUGCGAAAGCGUGGGGAGCAAACAGG
Molecule: ribosomal RNA, 253 nt
Filed under: uncultured bacterium
Lineage: Bacteria
Description: partial 16S ribosomal RNA
Rfam family: Bacterial small subunit ribosomal RNA
Source: RNAcentral